This 251-nucleotide ribosomal RNA is filed under the name uncultured Helicobacter sp. RNAcentral's name for it is "partial 16S ribosomal RNA". It matches the Rfam family "Bacterial small subunit ribosomal RNA", at positions 524 to 774 of the family's 1533-position model. The record is from RNAcentral. Lineage: Bacteria; Pseudomonadati; Campylobacterota; Epsilonproteobacteria; Campylobacterales; Helicobacteraceae.
UACGGAGGGUGCAAGCGUUACUCGGAAUCACUGGGCGUAAAGAGCGCGUAGGCGGGAUAAUAAGUCAGAUGUGAAAUCCUAUGGCUUAACCAUAGAACUGCAUUUGAAACUAUUAUUCUAGAGUAUGGGAGAGGUAGGUGGAAUUCUUGGUGUAGGGGUAAAAUCCGUAGAGAUCAAGAGGAAUACUCAUUGCGAAGGCGACCUGCUGGAACAUAACUGACGCUGAUGCGCGAAAGCGUGGGGAGCAAACA